Molecule: ribosomal RNA, 165 nt
Filed under: uncultured bacterium
Lineage: Bacteria
Description: partial 16S rRNA
Rfam family: Bacterial small subunit ribosomal RNA
Source: RNAcentral
UAGGGAAUCUUCCACAGUGGACGAAAGUACUGAUGGAGCAACGCCGCGUGAGUGAAGAAGGGUUUCGGCUCGUAAAACUCUGUUGUAAGAGAAGAAUGACAUUGAGAGUAACUGUUCAAUGUGUGACGGUAUCUUACCAGAAAGGAACGGCUAACUACGUGCCAC